CUCUCUUCCCUCUCCCUAGGUCUCUCCUUGCCGAGUUCAUCAUGGCAGUCUCUCUUCCCUCUCCCUAGGUCUCCCUCUCCUUGCCACGUGCAUCAUGGCAGUCUCUCUUCCCUCUCCCUAGGUCUCUCCUUGCCGAGUUCGUCAUGGCAGUCUCUCUUCCCUCUCCCUAGGUCUCUCCUUGCCGAGUUCAUCAUGGCAGUCUCUCUUCUCUCUCCCUAGGUCUCUCCUUGCCACGUUCAUCAUGGCAGUCUCUCUUCCCUCUCCCUAGGUCUCUCUCUCCUUGCCACGUGCAUCAUGGCAGUCUCUCUUCCCUCUCCCUAGGUCUCUCCUUGCCGAGUUCAUCAUGGCAGUCUCUCUUCCCUCUCCCUCGGUGUCUCUCUCUCUCCUUGCUGAGUUCGUCAUGGCAUUCUUUUCCCUCUCCCUAGGUCUCUCCUUGCCACGUGCAUAAUGGCAGUCUCUCUUCCCUCUCCCUCGGUGUCUCUCUCUCCUUGCCGAGUUCGUCAUGGCAUUGUUUUCCCUCUCCCUAGGUGUCUCUCUCCUUGCCUCUUUCUUUUUUUACCUCGUAUCGCUUACCCCUUAAUACUUUAGUGUUUAUUGGCGAGGCGCAAUGUCUCCUGCCUGUAAUCCCAGCACUUUGGGAGGCCAAGGCAGGUGGAUCACUUGAGGUCGGGAGUUGGAGACCAGCCUGGCCAAUGUGGUGAAAUCCCAUCUCUACUAAAAAUACAAAAAUUAGCCGGCGGUGUUGACAUGCACCUAUAAUCCCAGCUACUCAGGAGGCUGAGGCAAGAGAAUCACUUGAACCCUGGAGGCAGAUUUUGCAGUGAGCUGAGAUAAUGCAGCUGCACUCCAGCUUGGGCAACAGAGUCUCAAAAAAAACAAAAAUACAAAACGGAAACCAGAAAACAAAAACAAACAAACAAAAAUCCUUUAGGGUUUAUUUCCUAAGAAUAAGGAUAUUCUCAUGUAACCACAUACGCUAGCAAUUCAGUAAAUGUCACCUGGAGCCAGCACUCCACGUCAUCUGCAGGUGCAUUCUCACUUGGACAGUUUCUUUUCUUUCCUUUUUUUUCUUGGUCCAGGACGGCGUGCCAGAUCACAUGCUCUGUUUGGUAAUCACGUGGCUUUAUUCUUUAAUCUGCUGCAGUUCUUCAGCCUGUCUCUCUCUCUUUUUUUUUCUUUGAGACAGAGUUUCGCUCUUGUCACCCAGGCUGGAGUGCAAUGGCGCGAUCUCAGCUCACCGCAACCUCCGACUCCUGGGUUCAGGCAAUUCUCCUGCCUCAGCCUCCCGAGUAGCUGGGAUUACAGGCACGGGCCACCAUGCCCAGCUAAUUUUUUGUAUUUUUAGUAGAGAUGGGGUUUCACCAUGUUGACCAGGAUGGUCUCGAUCUCUUGACCUUCUGAUCCACCCACCUCGGCCUCCCAAGGUGCUGGGAUUACAGGCGUGAGCCACCGCGCCCGGCCUGUGUCUCUUUAAUGGCAGUCAUGUUUUGGUAAUACCAGCCAGUGUAUUAAAGAAUGCCCCUCAGUUUGGUUUGGUCUGAGAUUUGGUCGGGAUUGAAUUCACAUUACGUGUUUCUGGCUGCAGGGCUCUGUAAACACAUCCUUCAGAUAUCAGACGCAGAGGCGGCUGUCAGCUUGUCCUUAUUGGCAAUGUUAAUUUUGGUCCUUGAUAAGGUGGUUCCUCCUCUGAAUAGUCACUGAUUGUCCACGUCCUUGGGUGUAUUGUGGGUGACCUGCUGAGGCUGAGAAUGCCCUGUCUAUUCACAAAGCUGCCACCUGCCCCAGGCUGGCCUCACUGGCACCAAGCCACAUUUGCACUCAGUUGGGUCAACCUUUUGGGCAAUGGUUCCCUACGCUAAUUUUCCAACUCCAUCACUCCCUACGGCAUUCUGUGAAGAGGGCCACUUUCCUCCCAUUGUUUACUCACCUUGGCUUCACGGAUUCUUCGUUUGGUAACGUUAUUCUGUUUCUUUUCUUUUUUUUUUUUUUUGAGAUGGAGUUUCGCUCUUGUUACUCAGGCUGGAGUGCAAUGGCGCGAUCUCGGCUCACAGCAACCUCCGCCUCCUGGGUUCGGGCAAUUCUCCUGCCUCAGCCUCCUGAGUAGCUGGGAUUACAAGCACGCGCCACCAUGCCCAGCUAAUUUUUUGUAUUUUUAGUAGAGAUGGGGUUUCACCAUGUUGACCAGGAUGGUCUCGAUCUCUUGACCUCGUGAUCCACCUGCCUCGGCCUCCCAAAGUGCUGGGAUUACAGGCUUGAGCCACCGCGCCUGGCCACAUUAUUCUGUAUCUAGUGGGUUACGGUUGAUUGUUCUGACAGUUGUUGCUGCCCACAUUGUUCCAGGUUUGCCGUGGGGGUCUGUCCAGGUGGUUCCAGCAUCCUUCUCUGAACCAGUCCUUGUUUUGAGUCCUUAUUUUCUAUGCAGCGGAUGCACCUUCUCUGCCAGGCCACUGGAUCCAGCCCUUGCUCCAAGGAUUCUGCUUCUUCUUAGUGAGGAAUGGGAUUUAGAAGUCAAGAUGUGUGUGAGAUGUGCUCGUUGUUCACGGGCAUCAGAACCUCCAGAGCCUUCUACCUCCACUGCAACCGGCGCCAUGGCACUUCCCUGCCUGCCCCACUCCUGCACCUCCAAAUUGCACGGUGAUGGCGGCAGCUCACAGCAGCCAAGGCAGCAUCACACGUGACUCACACACAGCACAGCACAGAGCAGGUUUGGAACAGCUCCACCCGCAGGACCACAGAAAACAAACCCACUGAGAGUUCCAGACCUGUCUGCAGCGUUUUCUUUCUUCUGAGGGUAUGUGGUCAAGGUGCUGUCUUCAAAAUUUACUUAAAUUUGUUCUUUCCCAAGUCUCCUUCUGACGCUGGCUAAUAAUCUGAAAGACAGUUGCGUUCCGUUUUUGCAAUUCUGUUGUCUCAUUUUCCCCACUUCUCGAUAAUUUUAUUAUUUGAAUAUGUAAAGCGUCAUGAUUUCAAAAGUUAAAACUAUUGCAAAAGCUGCGCUCAGAGAACUGUCAUCUCCUCUCUGUUUCUUCUGUCCUGUUUUCUCCAAAAGGAACCAUUUCACUUAUUUUAACAGCUUUCCCGAACUAUAAUUCACACAUUAUAAAAUUCACCCGUUUAAAGUGUAUCUAGUGGUUUUUAGCACUCAUAGAAUUGGGAAACCGCCACAAUCAAUAUUAGAACAUUUUCAUCAACUAAAAAAAAACCUGUACCCAUUAGUACCUAUUCCCCAUUCCCUCACACUCCUGCCGCCUCCGUCCUCCUCCCUGGCCUUAGGCAACGGCUAAUCUUUUUGUCUCUGUAGAGUUGCCAGUUCUGGACGUUUCCUGUGAGGGAAUCAUUGAAUACGUGGCCUCGUGCACCUGGCUUCUUUCACACAGCGUCACGUUGCCGAGGCUCGUCGGUGUGGCGCGCACAGCAGCUCCUCCCUUUUUAUCGCCACCUAACUCCGUCGUAUGGACGGGCCACAUUUUAUGCAGCUCUCCAUCCGCUGACGGCCUUUUGAGUUGUUUCCACUUUUUGGCUAUUACGAACAAUUCUGUCAUGAGCGUCAUGUGCACGUUUUUGUGGGGACAUAUAGUGUCCCCUGUCUUAUGUAUUCCACAGGGAAUGGAACUGCUGGGUCCCACGUUCCCUCGAUGUUUAGAGGCUGAGGAUCUGCCAGGCCGUUUCCCGAAGCACGUGCACGCUUCGCUGCCUUAUGUUCCCUUUAGUGCGUGAGGGUUCCGGGCUCUGCUCAUCCUUGGCAGCCCCUGUUGCUGUCCGUCUGCGUCCUCAUUGCCACGCCAGUGGGUGUGGGAUACUGAGUGUGGCUUGAUUCCCGUUUUCCUGAUGGCUGAUGAGGCUGCAUGUCCUCACUUGUGCCUGGCCCCUCCGUAUGUCUCCUCAGAUCAAUGCCUCUUCAGAUCCUUUGUCUGUUAGGCCCAGUGGGGUAAUUCUUUACUGGGGAGUAGGAAGAGUUCUGGAUCUACUCUGCACGCACACCAUCUAGGAGACACCGGCCUGCACAGACUUAUUCCCACUCUUGGGCUUGUCUUUUCACUCUCUUGAUGUUUCUGGAAGUUUCCAUGUUCCUUUUGUUCUUUGUGCUUUUCAUAUCAUGUCACAAAAGGCUUUCCGUAAUCUGACACUGCAAAGAUUGACACACAUAUUUUUUCUGAGACUUUUAUAGUCUCACCUUUCACAGUUCGGUCUUCGGUCCAUUUCUAGUUUAUUUUUCACCUUAGGUCACUUAGCCUGUUCUAGGCUGUCUUAUACAUGGAAUCGUACAGGAUUCUUUUCUUUAUUUUUGAGACAGAUUCUUGCACAGGUGCCCAGGCUAGAGUGCAGUGGUGUGAUCUUGGCUCUUUACAACCACCAUCUCCUGGGUUCAAGCAAUUUUCCCAUCUCAGCCUCCCGAGUAGCUGGGAUUAUAGGCACCCGCCAUCACGCCCAGCUAACUUUUGUAUUUUAGUAGAGAUGGGGUUUCACCAUGUUGGCCAGGCUGGUCUUGGUCUCCUGACCUCAGGUGAUCCGCCCAGCUCGGCCUCCCAAAGUCCUGGGAUGAUAGGCGUGAGCCACCACAUCCGGCCCGUGCAGUAUUUUUUUUUUUUUUUUUACAAAAAUUGUUGUUACGGUUUCAGCAUUUAUAGGUUUGAAAAAUACUUGUCUUUCAUCUAUAUUUCCUAAAUAACGUACCGUUUUUAAAAAUAUUAGCAAAUCUCUCUAUCUGCAGGGCCUUUUGUUCUAUAUGUUGUUUAUUUGUAUCUUUUUGUUGUUUGUUUUUCUUUGAGAUGGAUCUUGGUCUGUCGCCUGGCCGGAGUGCAGUGGUGUGAUCUCAGCUCACUGCAACCUCGGACUCCCUGAUUCAAGAGUUUCUCCUGCCUCAGCCUCCCGAGUAGCUGGGAUUACAGGUGCCCGACACCAUGCCCAGCUAAUUUUUUGUUUGUUUGUUUGUUUUUGCAUUUUACGUUUUGGGGUACAUGUGCAGAACAUGCAAGAUAGUUGCUUAGGUACACACAUUGCAGUGUAAUUUGCUGUCUUCCUCCCCUUCACCCACAUCUGGCAUUUCUCCCCAGGCUAUCCCUCCCCAGCUCCCCCGCCCUGCUGUCCCUCCCCUAUUCCACCCAAUAGACCCCAGUGUGUAGUGCUCCCCUCCCUGUGUCCAUGAGUUCUCAUUGUUCAUCACACACCUAUGAGUGAGAAUAUGUGGUAUUUCAUUUUCUGUUCUUGUGUCAGUUUGCUGAGAAUGAUGUUCUCCAGAUUCGUCCAUGUCCCUACAAAGGACACGCGCUCAUCGUUUUUGAUGGCUGCAUAAUAUUCCAUGAUGUAUAUGUGCCACAUUUUUCCAGUCCAGUUUUUUGUAUUUUUAUUAGAGACGGGGUUUCACCAUGUUGGCCAGGAUGGUCUCGACCUCUUCACCUUGUGAUCCACCCGCCUCGGCCUCACACAGUGCUGGGAUUACAGGCGUGAGCCACCGCACCCGGCCCUUACUUGUGUUUUGAUUUGAUUGGUCUUGUUCCAGCUCUGUUUGUUCUAUUAAUCUUUCUAAGCAGUCGGGGUUUUUUGGUUACUCUUUUUUCUGAUAACUGAUUGUUUCUUUCCUUAUAUUCAUUAUUUCCUUUCUUCUCGUUUUCAGUUUAUUCUGUUUUUUCUUUUUUCAGAAUUUUUAUAUUGAAUACAUUGUUUCAUUUUGAAGUUUUCUUGCUUCCUGUAAAUACAUUUGAAAUUAUAAAGUUUCUUUUAACAUUGUCCCACAAAGUUUGACAUUUUUGUUUUUAUUUUCGUUUGGUUCUGAAUCUUUUGUAACCCUCUUCUGAUCUACUUUUAAACCCAGGGGCUAUUUAGUAAUGUUAUUUUCUUUCCAAAAAUGUGGUAUUUUAAAAAUUCUAUUCUUUUGUUAUUUAUUUCAAAAUUUAUUAUAGUAUUAUAUUAGAGAGGACAUGCUCUGUUGCUUCAGAGUUUAUUGUGUUUCUUUCUUGCCAAAUACAUUUUUCAUGAUAUCCGAUCAAAUUGUAUAAAUAUUCUAUUCAUUUUUAAAAGUAUAGUCUCCAUUGGACACAGAGUUCUAUGUAAAUAUCAUAUAAUUUAGAAUUUGUAUAUUUCAAACCUUCGAUGUUUCUGCUAUUUUUUAUGUUUUAAGAAAUAUCUAAUAUAAUUGCCAACUUCUAUUUUUCUCUGUCUAGAUGUAUCAGUUUUUGCUUUUCUAAAGAAACGGUACUCAGUACAGUAAGCUCAUGACGGUUGCACCCUGUGUACUGUCUCCUCUUGCAAGCAGUUCUCAUCAUGCUGGUCUUCGGUGGCUUCUUUGCCUUGGACUUUGCAGAUAGUAGGGCUGCUGUCUACUUUUAUGUGGAUUCAAAUUUGCCAAGCACUUCUUUUUCUAUUUAUUUUAAACAUUUUAGUUUCCUUUGCUUUUAAGUGUGCUUCUCUUAGCAAACCGUUUAUUCCUUCUUUAUAAAUCCAAGCUCUGUGUUGGUGUUUUUAGCUCAGUAAGUGUCUGUGGUUGCAUCGGGAGUUUACUUCUGCCUCCUUCGUUCACAGUUGGCUUUUACAUUCCUUCCUGUUCCCCCGUUUCUUCUCUAGUUUUUAAUGGUGGUUACCAUUAAAACCAUGAGAACCACAUCAAUGUGUGUCUAAUCCUAUUGAUUUCCUGAGCAGAUUUAUAUUAAGUCUUCAGACUCCCGUGUUGGUUCUGCUUAGAUAUUUACGUUUGCACUGUUGUAAAUGUACAUCGUCUUCUCUCCUCAUUUUGGUCCUGGCAUUUUUAGCCAACAGUAGACUUUACUAAAAUCUAUUUGAUCUAAAGCUUUUUAUACCCAUAGUUCCUAUAUCUCACACAACAGCCUUCUGGAUUUAUUUAUCUUCUAAUUUCCUUGAAGAACAUUUUCAAAGUGGGUCUUUUCAAAGUGGAUCUUCUGAGGCCUUUUAUAUUGGAAGAUAAUUUGAUCUGUGCUCAUACGCCAGUGACAGUUGAGCUGGCUGUAAAAUUCUCUGUCAAAUUCUUUUCCUUCAGGUCUUUAAAACUAUUACUCCAGGGUCUUCUGGCACCCAGUGUGGCAGCUGGAAACUCUGAAACCAAACUUAUUCUUACUCUUUUGUAGGUGAUCUGCUCUUCAUAGAAGUUUUGGAAUUUUCUCUGAUGCUCUUGAAUUUCACUGUCAGUUACAUGUUCCAAGCUCCUCAGGAGGCUGAGGCAGGAGAAUCACUUGAACCCAGGAGGCAAAGGUUGCAGUGAGCCAAGAUUGCACCACUACACUCCAGCCUGGGUGGCCGAGCGAGACUCCAUCUCCAAAAAGUAAAUAAAAUAAAAUAAGUAAAACUUUGAACAGUAUCCUCAGCUCAACUUGUUUGUUUUUCAGAAAUUGCAGCCCUCAGGUAUUAGCUACUUGGAGCGAGUGUGUCCCACUAAGGUAUAAGACACUGGCCUGAGAAGGCCCAGGUUGGGUCUCCCCCAGAACUGGAAUUGGGAAGGGGAAGAAUCUGGGCUAACCACUCCAUUUGCUCCAGCCCUACCUCCAGCAUCUAGGGGCAGGGAGUUGCAGUCAGACUCUUAAAAACACACAGCUGAAAGUGCAGUGCGGUGAGGCGUCCUCUGAGGACCAGACAGGUGGAGACCUGCCUGCUGUGCUGGGGACGGGUAAGGAAGGCAGGUGGAGCCAUCUCCCCGCAGCCUGGAGCCUCCCCUUUGGUGCUCCCACUCACAAGAUUGCUGCUUUUGCCGCUGACUGGUAGGAACUCCAGGCCGCUUCUCCAGCUGUGCCUCAGUUCUCCUUGUCUUUUUCCUUCCUAACUUCCUCAGUCCCAGGCUGGAGGCUCCAGUCUGCAAAUCAGAGGCCUCCACACCCACGUCACGCUCCACACCUUCCCAUUGGUGUGGUUCUGUUUGCAGUCUGGACACGUGAAAUCUCUCUGUCCUCCUGGAGUAGUUGUUGGCACAGUGUGGCUGUUGCGGAACCUGCCCAGGUGUCUCCCACGCAUUACAGAUCCCAAGACACUCCUGGGUCCCAGCCUCCCAGAGCUGGAGGAGCGGGACCCCUUCUGCCCUCCCAGGCUUCCUCCCGGGGUCAGGAAGUCGCAUCUGCCUGAGCUCUCACUGCUGUCUCUCCUCUCUCCUCUUUCUCUCUUCCUGUCCGCUAGCUUUUAUGGAGGAAUUCAGAGGGAACAUCCCGGUCUGCUUCCCAUCACAUCCACCCAGCCCCCAGCCUUGAGGCUCUGCACUGUCUCCCGUCCGGUGCCUGUCCAAAGCCGCUUCCACCCAGGACCAUCGCCCCUUCACAUUCAGGGGUACUGGUCCGUCUCUGCCAUGCUGAGAGCUGCUGCAUGAAAAGACCCCUGAAUCUCAUCCCCUCCAGCACUACCUCUUUUUCUCUUUUUAGAGAAACCACCUAGAAGGACUUCCUACACACACUGUUACCCCCUCCUCUUUCCUGUUCUCCUCAGGCCCACUGCUCACUACAGUGCCUUCUGCCCCCACAGUCACCCCUACCAGGGUGCCCCCAGCAGCAUUCGCUCCACCAACCCCUCCUCCCGAAGUGCUUUUUUGGGGGGGAUCCUGGAGCCCGAUCCUGGUCCCCCUCUCACCAUCCUAACUUCCUCCUGUCUUUCUUCUCCAGCUAUAGGCUCUUCCCAGGCGAAGUCACCUGUAAAUCACAUCCAUAUCCCAGAGGCUCCCAAAAUCUCACCUCCAGCCCAGACCCGAAUACUGGGUCAGCUGACAUCUUAUCCAAGGCAUCACACGCUUUCUCCAGCCUCGGACCACCCACUCCAGGGCUUUGCUUCCCACCCCCGCCCCCAGCCCAACAAGGUGCUCUUCCUCCUGUUACCUCCAUCUCGGUACAGGGGGCUGCUCUGCUUCCAGUUGUUGAAGUCAGAACUCUUGGGAUUUUUGUUGAUUCCUCUUUCUCUUCAAACCCGCAUCCCAUCCAGGGCCAAUCCCGUUGACCUCGGCUGUUCGUAAUAAAGCCCUGUGCCCUCUCCCUUCUCUGGAAGUUUGUGGAGCGUUCAUGUGCCCAUCACUAAUUCGACCCCAGAGUCUCCACUAGAGACAGGAGAGUCCUCUGCACAGGCUGACUUAACAGUGGGAGUCACAGCGGUUCCAUGGGUGGGAGACCGGCAUCUCCGAGCAUUUGAAUGGGCGCUUUUCUCUGCUGAAGUUCUUCUGCCCAUUCAGUGUCUCCUCUGACCACACAGUUUGGUUUUGCCUCUCUCUCCAUGUCGAAGGCUUCCUUGUGUCUGGUGUCUUUGAGUAUUUUUCAGCAUGAGGCACUGAGAAGGCGUGUGGAACCCCAGGGGUCUGUGUGUGGGGUGGCGUAAGGAGGUUUGCCUGUGGGACGCGGGAUGACUAGGGAGCCUCGUGGGUCUCAUAUUCAGGAACCCAUGAAUCACGCAGGUUUUUCUCAUGGGUGUGUGUUUCCCUGAAAGGAAUUCUGGGGUCCCUGGGGUGUGGGGCGCAAAGAUCUGUAAUUCUGUCCCCUGAAGUGUGGGAUGGAAGGAUCUGUAAUUCGGCUGCCACACUCUUGGAUCCAAGUAGGCAGAGGUCACUGUCGCUUCCCGUCCUGCCUCCUGCUUCCCGUUCCUACCUUCAGAUCUCCAUGACAGUGUCUUCUGGGCAAUUCCUCCUGGGCCCUCCCAGCUCACAGGGAUCCCACCUGCCCUCCGGGGUGUGGAGCAGGACCUGGGGACCCGGUGCCUCCUGCUUUUAGCCUAGCCUGAUGCUCCCUUUUGAGGUGCUGAGGCUUCCCUGGCUCUCCCUGUGGCUCUAGUAGGCUCCUGUGAUUGGUCUCUCGUGUGUCCGUCCAUCCGACAUCUGUGCAUCUGCCUCCAGUGCGCAGACCUGGCUGUGGCCUCUGCCUUUCACUGUCUUGGCCCAGGAACAUUUUUUCUUCUCUUUUUCUUCUCCUUCUCCUCCUUUCUUCCUCUUCUUCUUUAUAAAUAGAGACGGGGUAUCACUAUGUUGCCCAGGCUGGCCUUGAGUCCCUGGCCUUGAGCAGCCCUUUUGUCUCGGCCUCCCGAAGUGCUGGGAUGACAGGCGUGAGCACCACACCCAGCCUUGCCUUCUAUCUUCUCUCUCCACUUUAGCCAGAUUUCAGCAGGAAAUGGACGGACGUCGGUGCUCUGUCUGCCCAUUGGACCAGGAGCCCGUGCGUCUGAUCUAAACAACCCUCAUCUUGCCUUUGUUAGGUUUUCUGCUUGGUUUCCUUCAUAAAAUUGAUGUCUCAACUCUAAUAUUUUAUGUUCUUCUCACAGACAACUGUGAUCCACUAAUCAAUUACCUAAUUGUCCUAAACCCAAUCUUUUAGUAAAAUCUGAUUUCUUGGGGACUGCAGUAACAAGCUCGUGAGAAAGUUCCUGCUUGGAUGAGGCCAAGAGCGUGGGAGUGAGUUACAGGCUCCCAGAAGUGGGAAGUAUUUUGGGUUUAGGCCGUAAAGAAUUCCCUAUAAAAAUAGCUGAACAGAUUGGGCUCCUCUCGCUGUGGGACUAUCUUGGAACAUGAGGUGAGGUUUUGGGUUGGCUUGCAGAUAAAAUCAAACCAAUUUCCCAAUGAGGGAAUGGGCUGUGGUUAGGAUGGGCUGCGUGGGGGUUCCGGGGCGCCGCAGGGUCACACAGCUAUCUGCUGUACAGCCAUUGACUAAAUGUACGGUUCGUGAAUUCUUCUGCGUGUAUGUUUUAUUUCACAAUAAAAUGUCAUCUUUUUAAACAACUAAGCAAAGUUGAGAACCAUGCAGGGUAAUUUCCUUGGAAAUACGCUUUGGCAGUUAUUUAAUUGGGCAAGUGGAAAAGUACUUUGUAUGAAGUCGGUUUUACAUAUCAUAAAAAUGCCACGUGCUGAGCCGUGCAGGAAGGGAAAGUGUCUAGAUAAGGACAGUCAUUUGCUCUUCCCGAUAGGCCAUCCGCUACUCUCUUAUCUGGAAGCACUCUGGCAUGCCCGAUGACUGGUAUUUUGAUAGAUUAGCGAGUAUUUACAUGUCUCAAACAGGCGAGUUUAAAACCACAAAGUCAAGGGUAUUUUAAAACCUUGACUUCAGGUCUUAACAAUUUAUCUUCUCAUUUCUUCAUUCUGGUCUGGCUGCUUUGCAUGUGGCUGUUUCUCUCCCGUCUCUUGUUGCCUGGCUUACAGGAGAGGUGGGUGACGGGGACACAGGAGUCGAGAACGCUCAGGCCUCUGACAGCCGCUCUGUGCAGACCAGUCCUGCAGCCACGCGCAGGAAAUGCCACCAGAGCAGGACACGUCUGCUACCCUCCCGGAAGUGACGAAACCGCCUUUCAGAAAUUACAACAGUAAGAAAAUGAUGACGUUGAAGGAGACCUGACCUAAGCAACUCUUGCCUCUGACCUCCAAGCUGCUCUUUAUCAUUGCUGGGCUUGGGCCAAAAUAACCUUGGGUGGAGGGGUCCCAAGAAACCCCUGAAAUGACAGAGCUCAAGUUUGAUGGGCCAGAAAGACUGAGUGAGGAGGGGCAAUGCAGUGGCUGGUGAUGGCCGGGAGCCACCUCUGCAGCCACACCCAGUGGAUCCUCCCCUCCCUUGGCCACAGCCACAUCUGAUAACUCCUACCCCUGCAUCAGCCACUGGAGUGCUUCCGGUGGAACCACAGGCUUUUGUGAAAGGAAAAUACAUCUUGGGACCCCAAGUCACUAAGCCAAAGGGAAGAGUCAGGCUGGGAACUGCCGAUUCAGGCGGGGCACAGUGGCUCACACCUGUAAUACCAGCACUCUAGGAGGCUGAGGCAGGAAGAUGGUUUGAGUCUGGGAGUUUGAGACCAUCUCAGGCAAUGUAGAAGAUCCUCUCCAAAAAAUAAGAAAAAAAUGCAGAUUCUCUAAACCAGCCUAACGCACAAGUGACUAUUCCUCUACCCCCUUUCACAUGUAAAUUGUGUAUUUGAUGAAAGAAAGAAAGGCUAGCUGGAGACUCAGAAGAAGGCACCUGUUUGUCUCUUAUCUGCCUGUGACCUGGAAGCGCCACUUGGAGUUGUCCCGCCUUUCCAGACCAAACCAAUGUGCAUCUUACACGUACUGAUUGAUGUCUCAUGUCUCCCUAAAAUGUAUCAAACUGAGCUGUGCCCCGACCACCUUGGGCACAUGUCAUCAGGACCUCCCAAGGCUGUGUCAGGGGCACAUCAUUAACCCUGGCAAAUGAUGUGGUUAGGCUUCGUGUCCCCACCCAAAUGUCAUCUUGAAUUGCAGUCCCCAGGUGUCGAGGGACAGACCUGGCGAGAGAUGAGCCAAUCAUGGCAUGUGGUUUUCCCCAUGCUGUUCUCAUGAUAGUGAGUAAGUCUCGUGAGCACUAAGAUCUGAUGGUUCUAUGAAGGCAGUUGCCCCGGGCUCUCCUGCCACCUUAUGAAGAAGGUCCUUGCUUCCCUGCCAUAUGGAACUGUGAGUCGAUUAAACCAUUUUCCUUUAUAAAUUA
Non-coding RNA from Callithrix jacchus (white-tufted-ear marmoset), 12383 nucleotides. The record is from RefSeq and is a predicted model, not a curated record. Lineage: Eukaryota; Metazoa; Chordata; Mammalia; Primates; Cebidae.